GAUGAACGCUGGCGGCGUGCCUAAUACAUGCAAGUCGAGCGAACGGACGAGAAGCUUGCUUCUCUGAUGUUAGCGGCGGACGGGUGAGUGACACGUGGAUAACCUACCUAUAAGACUGGGAUAACUUCGGGAAACCGGAGCUAAUACCGGAUGAUAUUUUGAACCGCAUGGUUCAAAAGUGAAAGACGGUCUUGCUGUCACUUAUAGAUGGAUCCGCGCUGCAUUAGCUAGUUGGUAAGGUAACGGCUUACCAAGGCAACGAUGCAUAGCCGACCUGAGAGGGUGAUCGGCCACACUGGAACUGAGACACGGUCCAGACUCCUACGGGAGGCAGCAGUAGGGAAUCUUCCGCAAUGGGCGAAAGCCUGACGGAGCAACGCCGCGUGAGUGAUGAAGGUCUUCGGAUCGUAAAACUCUGUUAUUAGGGAAGAACAUAUGUGUAAGUAACUGUGCACAUCUUGACGGUACCUAAUCAGAAAGCCACGGCUAACUACGUGCCAGCAGCCGCGGUAAUACGUAGGUGGCAAGCGUUAUCCGGAAUUAUUGGGCGUAAAGCGCGCGUAGGCGGUUUUUUAAGUCUGAUGUGAAAGCCCACGGCUCAACCGUGGAGGGUCAUUGGAAACUGGAAAACUUGAGUGCAGAAGAGGAAAGUGGAAUUCCAUGUGUAGCGGUGAAAUGCGCAGAGAUAUGGAGGAACACCAGUGGCGAAGGCGACUUUCUGGUCUGUAACUGACGCUGAUGUGCGAAAGCGUGGGGAUCAAACAGGAUUAGAUACCCUGGUAGUCCACGCCGUAAACGAUGAGUGCUAAGUGUUAGGGGGUUUCCGCCCCUUAGUGCUGCAGCUAACGCAUUAAGCACUCCGCCUGGGGAGUACGACCGCAAGGUUGAAACUCAAAGGAAUUGACGGGGACCCGCACAAGCGGUGGAGCAUGUGGUUUAAUUCGAAGCAACGCGAAGAACCUUACCAAAUCUUGACAUCCUUUGACAACUCUAGAGAUAGAGCCUUCCCCUUCGGGGGACAAAGUGACAGGUGGUGCAUGGUUGUCGUCAGCUCGUGUCGUGAGAUGUUGGGUUAAGUCCCGCAACGAGCGCAACCCUUAAGCUUAGUUGCCAUCAUUAAGUUGGGCACUCUAAGUUGACUGCCGGUGACAAACCGGAGGAAGGUGGGGAUGACGUCAAAUCAUCAUGCCCCUUAUGAUUUGGGCUACACACGUGCUACAAUGGACAAUACAAAGGGCAGCGAAACCGCGAGGUCAAGCAAAUCCCAUAAAGUUGUUCUCAGUUCGGAUUGUAGUCUGCAACUCGACUACAUGAAGCUGGAAUCGCUAGUAAUCGUAGAUCAGCAUGCUACGGUGAAUACGUUCCCGGGUCU
RNAcentral lists this ribosomal RNA (1372 nucleotides) under uncultured bacterium. RNAcentral's name for it is "bacterial SSU rRNA". It matches the Rfam family "Bacterial small subunit ribosomal RNA", at positions 28 to 1381 of the family's 1533-position model. The record is from RNAcentral.